This 347-nucleotide ribosomal RNA is filed under the name Aptinothrips rufus. RNAcentral's name for it is "eukaryotic LSU rRNA". It matches the Rfam family "Eukaryotic large subunit ribosomal RNA", at positions 645 to 957 of the family's 3401-position model. Lineage: Eukaryota; Metazoa; Arthropoda; Insecta; Thysanoptera; Thripidae. The record is from RNAcentral.
UGACCCGUUUUGAAACAAGGACCAAGGAGUCUAACAUGUGCGCGAGUCAUUGGGCUCUACGAAACCUAAAGGCGAAAUGAAAGUAAAGGCCGGCUUCGGCUGGCUGAGGGGUGAUGGUCUUGUCCGGCUCAAACCGGAGACCCGCAACCCCGGGGCGUCACGUUCUCGCUGAGAUGUGGCGCACCCAGAGCGCACACGUUGGGACCCGAAAGAUGGUGAACUAUGCUUGGCCAGGGCGAAGUCAGGGGAAACCCUGAUGGAGGCCCGUCGCGAUUCUGACGUGCAAAUCGAUCGUCGGAGCUGAGUAUAGGGGCGAAAGACUAAUCGAACCGUCUAGUAGCUGGUUC